UCCGGUUUGGCACCGGCAGUCUCCCAUGAGUCCCCGACAUAACUCGCUGGCAACAUGGGACAGGGGUUGCGCUCGUUGCGCCACUUAAGGCAACACCUCACGGCACGAGCUGACGACAGCCAUGCACCACCUGUACACCUGCCCCGAAGGGCUGCCGUAUUUCUACGACAUUCAGGUGCAUGUCAAGCCCUGGUAAGGUUCUUCGCGUUGCGUCGAAUUGAACCACAUGCUCCACCGCUUGUGCGGGCCCCCGUCAAUUCCUUCGAGUUUUAACCUUGCGGCCGUAAUCCCCAGGCGGGGAACUCAAUGCGUUAGCUGCGGCACGGGAGGGGUCAAUACCCCCCACACCUAGUUCCCAUCGUUUACGGCGUGGACUAC
This 378-nucleotide unclassified non-coding RNA is filed under the name uncultured Actinomycetes bacterium. RNAcentral's name for it is "uncultured actinobacterium contains 16S-23S intergenic spacer region". Lineage: Bacteria; Bacillati; Actinomycetota; Actinomycetes. The record is from RNAcentral.